This 69-nucleotide transfer RNA is filed under the name Dryobates pubescens (Downy woodpecker). RNAcentral describes it as "Picoides pubescens (Downy woodpecker) tRNA-Glu". RNAcentral also lists the same sequence under 1 other name. The record is from RNAcentral. Lineage: Eukaryota; Metazoa; Chordata; Aves; Piciformes; Picidae.
AUUUCUAUAGUUGAAUCACAACGACGGCUUUUCGGGUCGUAGGUCUUGGAUUGAAGCCAAGUAGGAAUU